UGAUUGAACCAAUCUGUGAGCCCUAUGGAAAU
Molecule: non-coding RNA, 32 nt
Filed under: Homo sapiens (human)
Lineage: Eukaryota; Metazoa; Chordata; Mammalia; Primates; Hominidae
Source: RNAcentral